This 440-nucleotide ribosomal RNA is filed under the name uncultured bacterium. RNAcentral's name for it is "partial 16S ribosomal RNA". It matches the Rfam family "Bacterial small subunit ribosomal RNA", at positions 338 to 795 of the family's 1533-position model. The record is from RNAcentral.
CCUACGGGAGGCAGCAGUGGGGAAUAUUGCACAAUGGGGGAAACCCUGAUGCAGCGACGCCGCGUGAGCGAUGAAGUAUUUCGGUAUGUAAAGCUCUAUCAGCAGGGAAGAAAAUGACGGUACCUGACUAAGAAGCCCCGGCUAACUACGUGCCAGCAGCCGCGGUAAUACGUAGGGGGCAAGCGUUAUCCGGAUUUACUGGGUGUAAAGGGAGCGUAGACGGCUGUGCAAGCCAGAUGUGAAAGCCCGGGGCUCAACCCCGGGACUGCAUUUGGAACUGUGUGGCUGGAGUACAGGAGGGGCAGGCGGAAUUCCUAGUGUAGCGGUGAAAUGCGUAGAUAUUAGGAGGAACACCGGUGGCGAAGGCGGCCUGCUGGACUGUGACUGACGUUGAGGCCCGAAGGCGUGGGGAGCAAACAGGAUUAGAUACCCCAGUAGUC